GAGGAAUAUUGCGCAAUGGGCGAAAGCCUGACGCAGCAACGCCGCGUGGGGGAUGAAGCACUAUGGUGUGUAAACCCCUGUAGACAGGGAAGAACAGCAUGUAUUCGUAAGGGUGCGUGUAUGACGGUACCUG
RNAcentral lists this ribosomal RNA (133 nucleotides) under uncultured bacterium. RNAcentral's name for it is "partial 16S ribosomal RNA". It matches the Rfam family "Bacterial small subunit ribosomal RNA", at positions 356 to 481 of the family's 1533-position model. The record is from RNAcentral.